CGAGCAGGACAGGUGGUCGCCGGCGUCGCGAGACGCGGGAGGAAAGUCCGAGCUCCGCAGGGCAGGGUGCUGGCUAACGGCCAGUCGGGGUGACCCGAAGGAAAGUGCCACAGAAAGCAAACCGCCGUGGUCCGCCGCGGUAAGGGUGAAAGGGUGCGGUAAGAGCGCACCGGGGGGCUGGUGACAGUCCCCGGCAUGGUAAACCCCACCUGGAGCAAGACCAGUUCGAGGUACCCCGCGCCGACGGGGUCCGGGUGCCCGCCCGGUAGCCUCGGGUCAGGUCGCUCGGGGUCGUGGCAACGCGGCCCUUAGAUGAAUGACCACCCCCCUCGUCGGGUGACCGGCGGGGGAGACAGAACUCGGCUUACGGCCUGGUCGGAGA
RNAcentral lists this RNase P RNA (382 nucleotides) under Myxococcales bacterium. RNAcentral describes it as "RNase P RNA component class A". It matches the Rfam family "Bacterial RNase P class A". Rfam says of the family: Ribonuclease P (RNase P) is a ubiquitous endoribonuclease, found in archaea, bacteria and eukarya as well as chloroplasts and mitochondria. The record is from RNAcentral. Lineage: Bacteria; Pseudomonadati; Myxococcota; Myxococcia; Myxococcales.